RNAcentral lists this ribosomal RNA (391 nucleotides) under Limnonectes magnus (Mindanao fanged frog). Its description in RNAcentral is "partial large subunit ribosomal RNA". The record is from RNAcentral. Lineage: Eukaryota; Metazoa; Chordata; Amphibia; Anura; Dicroglossidae.
GCGGUACCCUGACMGWGCAAAGGUAGCAUAAUCWUUUGUUCUUWAAAUAAGGACUCGUAUCAACGGCAUCASGAGGGUUWUACUGUYUYCUCUUUCCAAUCAGUGAAACUGACCUCCCCGUGAAGAGGSGGGGAURAAAAUACAAGAMGAGAAGACCSCAUGGAGMUUUAAACCCAAUAACAACUCUUUCUARAUARACUUUAAAAACACAGAUGUACUGUUUAUUGGUUUURGGUUGGGGUGACCACGGAGUAAAAAUUAACCUCCCUGAUGGACAGAUUUCAUCUUUAUCCAAGAGCUACUGCUCAMAGAAUCAAAAAUUUGACAUUACAUGAUCCGGCAACCGAUCAACGAACCAAGUUACCCUGGGGAUAACAGCGCAAUCCAUUUU